This is a long non-coding RNA of Equus caballus (horse), 4795 nucleotides long. Lineage: Eukaryota; Metazoa; Chordata; Mammalia; Perissodactyla; Equidae. The record is from Ensembl.
CUGGGGUCAUAGGGAGGUCAGCAAGGAACCUUCACAGAAAAUGCUGAAUGGACAAACUGAGGUCCAGAGAAAGUCAACAGAAGAAGACAGGAAGUCCAAGAAGGGAGAGAACGGGGAGCCAAUGUCUGAGGCAAAUCCCACCCCAGGGUUGACAGGGACUCCGAUUCAUUCAGUGGGUCUCCACGAAGUGCCUGCAAAAAGACUAUGACUGUUACAAGGGCCCAAAGCCACACCCCCCCAGUGCUCCUCAGUGUGACUUGGAGGCGUGGUAGCCUGAUUUUGGUGCAGUGGUGAUAUUCAUAAAGAGGGAGUCUGGGACUGCAGCCUGGAUCAAAAGGGGACAUUUAAAGUGCAUUUGAGAGUUUUUUAUAGAAGAGAAAGACUAUGUAAGUUGUUGAAAUUAAAAAGCGAGUGUUGGGUGGGCUAUGGCAGUCGAUAAAGGGCCGAGCACUUUCUGCCGCAGCAUUGCUUAUGGGACUGUCCCCAAAAGCUUUGCAAGAGAAAAAGAGGAGAGGGUGGCUGACAGAGCCUCAGGAACUCAGCUGAGUCAGCAGGCAAAGAUACAAGCAAUCCCGCAGCCUAGCUGGACCCUCAUAUGAAGUGGGUGAGUUACCCCUCUUCCAUUUAAUACACCCCACGGAGGAGCCCAGAAUCUCAGAGGGGACUCCCUUGGGUUAUCUAAGGAGGAAAUCCAGUCCUAAAUAGGGCUGCUUUCCCUUGAACAGAGGCUUCCAGGUGAUGAGCUCCACUUGAACGGCAACAGUCUGGAGGCAAGGCCACGCAUGUCACGCUGACUUCCUCCGGUCAAUCAGCAUCCCCACCCCUUUCACAUGAGAGGGUGGUGCCGUGGCCUUGACUGGGCUUCUCUGCUGCCCCUUUCUCUAGCGUCCCCCACUGCUUCUCAAAGUGGGGCAGUGCUGUUUGCCUUGAAAGCUUCAAAGGCUGGCUGGUUAGCAGUCAGCUGCAACCCAUCAAGGGCUGAUUAGGCAUUUGAAAAGGUGGAGCCUUUUUAACACAAUGAUUGACAACGGCUUCUAUCUCACACACCUGCUGCUUUAAACCCCCCAUAAAAUGUCAGCAGGGAGUGUAAGCGAUAUACAGCAGUAGCGCUGCCGGGGCAGGAAUGUUAAGUGCUAGGAGAUGGGAGUCUCGGAACCUCAGCUACUGGAGAGAAAACAAAGCAAGCCCCAAUCUAAUCCAUUUCUAAAGUGAGAACCAUCAGGACACAUCUCACCAGUCCAGCUUUGCUGCCCCCGGACAGGGUUCAGCACUGGCAGUCACCGUCAAGCCCUGAGUUGUGGUUACUGAGUGACUGCCACAAGACCGUCUCUGCCCAAUGCGUGGCCAGCACCUGAGGACCAGAUCAGCUAGCCCCAGAGUCAUUUCUGGCCACCAGGGCCCAGGCCUGUGCUGACCCGGAUGUGCGGCAGAGCCAGGCGCCUGCCCUCGGGCAGCUGCUGCUUGGCGGGGGCGCGGGCGCUGCAUAAACACAGAAGAGCGUCACUGCUUGUGAUGACUGCGUGCCGGAGAGCAGCAGUGCCCACCGAAGAGUGUGGCGGGAAACCUAAUCCCUGUGGGACCCAUGAAUGGAAACCCCAUUGGCUAUCAAAGCCAGGUGAUUCAGGGACCUAUAUCUGGGGCAGCAGCCACAAAAGCUGGAGCACCAGAUCCCUUUGGAAAUAUGGCAAAAGCUAUGGGUCCUCAAAAGUGAGUUACCAGUCACACAAGCAGAGUCAACGCAGUGAGAACUACAAGAAAGCCAAGGGCAAAAUGAAAGGACUUGAUUUUUGUUGGCUAUUGUUUAUGUCAGGAAGUAUGCUGGGCACUUUUUACGUUAAACACUCAACUGUUAUUAUGUCCAACCAUCUCAUUCAAUCUUUAAGCUCUGUUAAGUUCAUUUUACAUAAAAGUUAACUCAAAGGUUUAAGUGAUUUGGUGAAAGUCACACACAGAGCCUGAAAGAUAUAUGGGUAGGGUUUUGAGCCACUUCUCUACGCUGGGGAGGAAAAUUGCAGGGAAGCAGAGAUGAGGGAAAAGGAGGAGUGAGGCAGAGGAGGAAAAGAGGUGAGGGGGGCAUUCUGAGCUGCCACAGCUUGGCAAGGAACCUAUUCCCUGGUCUUCUGGCAUCUUCAGAAAGGCUGAAGCUGCUGUGCCUCCAAACUGUCUGUCUGGAAGAAAGUAUGUCUCCGUCAGCUCCCGCCUCCCACCAGUCAGGGAUGGCCCCGAGGAGUAUUAACUCUCUGGUACUUGUAGGUUGUUCAACUGAAGAUGUUAGGAAGUUGGGCAUGUGAUGGCUCGCUGUGCUGUGAAAGCCCUAAGGCAGAAGGCAAUAGGCUAGUGGUUUGGGCACUGAUAGAGCAAGCCCUCAAGGGACCUGAGGAAUUAGGAGAAAUUGCCUCUGCUCCUGAUGGCUCUGCAGGGCCCUCUGUUUGUAGCAGCAGCAGUCCAAGAUCACGGGACUCAAGCAAGUCUUCUCUAGGCCUGCACUGGUCAGAAAGCAUGUGAGGGGCAGAUCCUGGCUGGGGCGUAAUCUGAAUCCCCUACAGUUACGGUACGUGGGCUGGCUCUACCUUUGAACUGUUCCUACGAUGUUCCAACUGGAAUCAGCACUGACAGGAAGGGUUAACUGGAACACUAUGAACAUCUUUUACGUUUUGAAGGUCAGGUGCCAUUUCGUAAGGCGUGAUGUUUCCCUUUAGAUGAUUUCAACAUUUUAAAAGCUGUUUAUUAUUCUCAUUGCAGAAACAGAGAAAGUUUGGAAAAAUAUCUAAAAGAGUAAGAAAAAAAAUAAAAAUCACUCAUAUCAACAAUACCUAGAAGUAACCAUGGGUAGUAUUAUGUGUAUGUGAGCACAUAAGAAAUAAAGCCAGGUAUUAUAUCAAUGUUAGGUGAUAAAUGAAGAAAAACUGCAUGCAAGCAGUAUGUUGGGUAAAUAUUUUUAAAAACUAUCUUAUUGUGGUAAAGUGUAUAUAACAAAAGAAGUCAUUUUAGCCAUUUUUUAAAGAGUAGAUAAUUCAGUGGCAUUAAUACCCCUUCUACUGUUCCUAUCCCCAUUGCUAUAGGACACAAUUGGCAUGUCUCUUGGAGAUUCCAUGCCUUGACAACAGCACAAGGUCACUUGAGUAACCACAGCCUGAUAAGAGUGAAGUGGUGAAGGCUCAGCGAUGCAGAAUGGGAAUCUGCUGAGGGGCACUAGAAGUUCCAAGGGAUGUGGGAGGGGCACCGAGAGCCUCUUCUUGACUUCUGUGGGGUCCUCCGAGAAUAAGGAAAGGAUCUCUCUUGCUUAAAUCACAGCCCAGAGGUCUUUAAGGCUCCAGCUCAGUGCCCACCAUGGAAAGUUAGGGCUCUGUGUCAAAAUCGUCUCCCCUGGGGCUGAAACCCACAGCAUCCAGAAGAGACGCUGGUUCCCUUCUGAGACAGGCCUGGGUCUUUCAGUGAUGAUGGUCUGAAUCACUCCACUAGGCAAGCACCCUAGGCCUGCUGAAGUGCAGGCUGAGCAUGGGGGGAACUCAGAGUGGGUAACUGAGGAAGGAGAUGUUGACUAUCAAUUACAACCUGGGGACCACCUACAACAAUGAGACUGGAACUUGGCCCACUAACCCGCCUCUGUUAAGUCUUGAGGCGAUGGCAGUGAGCAAUCUUGAGGUGGAGCAGAAAUAGCGAUGGGCAUCACUGGAUGCCUGGCUAAGGACGGGCUGUCUAAGAUGCCUUGUGCCCUUCCUUCCCUCACCCAUUGCUGAAGGACCAACUUCACACAGGUGUAAACUUUCAACCCCUCCUCCUUCUUGCUUUCUGCACCAGGUUUUCCCUGACACCUCAGAGUGGAAGUCUGUGGGAACUCACUCAGUAUUCAUGCUUGUGCUGCUGCCUGCAUGGGGGCAACACCCAUGGGUGAGCCUUGACCGAUGGGGAUUGGAGUUAGUGGACAUAUCCCUCCCUCUCCCAUCCAUUCAGUGGAAGAUGCUGAGGCACCUUCUACACAGCUCCUCAGAGGGUCCCAGUGGGACCGAGCCCCCACUGUGGUAACAAGCUCGAUAAGCUCCUUGCAUUGCUUUUCCCGGUUUUCCUGUUACACUCUUUCCAUCCCCCUACUCCUCUCUCCUAGAAUAACUUCCCCAAAUAAAUUACAUGCUAGUAAGCCCUUAUCUUAGGCUGUGCUUUCUAGGAGAACCCACGCUAAGAUUAGUACGUAUCCCACUCUAUGUAAAUAUCAUAAGCCUGUCUCCUUAUCAUUAUAAACUAUAUAAACAUUUUUAAUGGUUGUAACAUAAAGCAGACUCUAGAGCCGCACUGCCUGUCAAAUAACUGCCUGGUAAGGAAACUUGGACAAGUUAUUUAAUUUUUUGGUGUCGGUUUUCUUAUACAUAAAAUGGUGAUAAUAGUAAUAAUACUCUCCCAGGGUUAUUGAGAGAAUUAAUAUGUUAAUUCAGAUUAAGUGCUUUCAACUUUGCCUGGCAUAGAAUAGCUAACACAUUGUGCUUUCUAUUAUUUUUAUGACAACAAAUUGGCUAAUUACAAUUUUUCCACUGUUUCCACAAUUUUUCCACUGUUGAAAAAUGCACUGUGUGACCCAUAUCAGCAUGAAUAGGGGCCACCGAUAACAAUGCGCACUGCGUGAACCAUCCCUGCUAAAUCACGUCUGCGUUUAAGAGGUCCUGAGGACAGAUUCCUAGAAGCAGGAUUUCUGGGUCCAAUACACCAUGCCUGCUGCAACUUCAGAACUUCACACUGCAGUGUGACAGCUUCUUACUGCCUGCGCCCCGCAAGAUAGAAACACUUGGGGGAAGGAACCAGG